Molecule: long non-coding RNA, 3471 nt
Filed under: Sus scrofa (pig)
Lineage: Eukaryota; Metazoa; Chordata; Mammalia; Artiodactyla; Suidae
Description: lncRNA (ENSSSCG00045000450.1, ENSSSCG00065063199.1)
Source: RNAcentral
CUUUUUUGCCAUUUCUUUGGCCGCUCUUGUGUCAUAUGGAGGUUCCUAGGCUUGGGGUCCAAUCGGACCUGUAGCCACUGGCCUACACCAGAGCCAUAGCAACACAGGAUCCAAGCCAAAUCUGCGACCACAGCUCACGGCAACGCUGGAUCCUUAACCCACUGAGCAAGGCCAGGGAUCGAACCUGCAACCUCAUGGUUCCUAGUCAGAUUCGUUAACCACUGCGCCACAAUGGGAAUUCCAGAAAUGAGUAAUUUUAUAAGGGAAAGUACAGAGCAAGUGAGAAUACCUUGUCAUAAAGUCCCACAUAUGGUGUUAUUUAAAAGCGAAAUUAGUUGCAACUGUUAUUGAAAACACAAGGGCAAAACAAUGAAACAUUAUUUUAAGUAAAACUGAUAUGCUAAUAUAGGAUAGUAAAUGGAAUCAUACAAAAUCCUUAAUUCAAACCAGAAAAGAUUUAAAAAGAAACAAAUAACAAGUGAAAAGAAUAAAAACAGCUGCAAAUCUGGUAGAUAUUUACCUAACUAUAUCAAACAUUGCUUUAAAUGCAUCAAAACAAGGAAAAUGAUGAAGGAUAAAGAGGGGCAUUACAUAAUAAUGAAAAGUUCUCCAAAAAUAUAUAAUGAUAAUUAACAUGGACCCCUGAAAACAGAGCAUCGAGAUAAACAAGGAAAACUAGCAGGACUGCAGGAUAAACAUAGAAAAAGUCACUCAUUAUUGGAGAUUUCAACAAUCCAGCAGGGAGAAAGCCAGUAAGUAUAUGGUUGAACUAAAUGCCACUGAAAAUGUCUGUCUGAAGGAGAAGCAAGUAUCAUGCAGGCUGAUACUUAUUAACUUUCCACACGGAAGACAGUCAUUGUGACCUGGGAAAAAUUUAAGUGUGAGCAUGUAUGUAUUUGGACUAACUAAUGAAAGAAAGGUUGAAAGAAAGUGCACAGGAAGAGGCAAAAAGGGAAACUACAGGCCAAAGGUAUACAAUAGGGAAUGUAAAAAAGUUUCUAGGGCACUGCAGAAAGACAAUGUAUUCUAGUGAUUACCUUUAUUAGACUCUAUUGGAUCAGGAGCCAAUUCAUUAAACAUUAAUGGCAGGGGAAUGCCAUCCAUAUAUUAUAAAUAGCCAUUAAGUUGAGAUAGACAGCUCUGCACAGGGUCAGUAUGAAUUAAUAAAAAAACUGAAGCUGGCAUUUCAGAAUCAUAAAAAGGUAGAUUUAGUAGAAAAUAUUCAAUAAGAAUAAGGAAGAACAGUAUAUAUUACGCUAUUUGUCUGAAGAACAAACUAGAAAUGAGAAUAAAUUUACCAUAAACCUAAAAAUAACCUUCAUGACAAAACACUUAUUUCUUAAAAAUGGGUGUCAAUUACAUUUUAGAAUCUUAGCUGUUCAACGUGUGACAUUGGCAAAUGGUAAAUGCAAAGACAAAUGAGAAGUCAAUGUUCAAGUGGAAAUUAGACAAAAUGUUAAUGAAACCAGAAUAACCCCAUUGAAUAGAGUUCUACGUAUUUGUGACAGCUGAACUGAACUUAUUAGCAGAUAAGGUUGAAUUUCAAAUUUCUCUAUUGAGUUAAUUCUGGAAUCUGUCCCACUUGGUAGUAUUUACCAAGCAGGUUAUCUACAAAGGAAUCAUAAUUUUGUUAGUUUUAUCAUCAGUUUUCACUGCUAUAAGAGUGAAGAAUAUUAUAAAAAUUAUGUUAUUGAUGGCUAUUUAAAUAGGUAACCACAUUUGUAUAACUUUUUCUUACCUUCUUUCCUAAUUCACACCCAUUUUUUUUUCAGAUUUGAGCAAAGAAUUUAAAGAUACAUAUAAGAGUCUUUUGAUAUCUUAAAGUUUCUAAGAUAAUAACACAUAGACUUUGUAAGAAUUUCAUUGUGACAGCUAUUUUGACACAAAAAUGCAUGUCCCUUGUUAAUAAAAAUAACCAUAAACUUAGAAAUAAGACAAGGACUGUGGCAGUAGUGGUGUGUGGGUGUAUGGCAUGUCCUUUCAAUAUCAUACUGAGAUACUGUUUAAGAAGCCCACCUAAGGAUUUAAUUGCCUAUGAGAACAGACCUGCAUCUGAUUUUGCUAUGUACUUUUCCCCCCCCAAUUUCUGCUGUACAGCAAAGUGACUCAGUCACACAUAUCACUAUGUAAUUUUUGAUUAUUGUACAGCUACUGUGAAGUAACAACUAGUCAAUUUUUGUCUAGUAUAGAAACUAUCACAAAGGUUAUGAUUUUACUGCCCUGUAAGGUAGUCUCAGUUUUAUAUCUAACCUAGCAGUUUAUUAAAGUAUUUUCUCUCUGUGUCCCACCUACCUCCACUUAUUCUUUGAAUAAAUUGUUUAUAAUUACCUAUGUACCCACUGGAUUACACUGACUUCCACACUGAAGACUUAUUAAAAUUUGGUACAUAUAUAUUCUUUAUAGGUAGCAUAUUUUUAACUCUUUGAAAAUAAUACUUUGCCCUCCAUUAGGAUUCUGUGUAAAAUUAAAAAAAAAAAUAACCCAAUACCUUUUUCAUGAAUCUGGACAAACCAAAGCUGAAAUGAAUUGCCUUGUGACAGUCAAGCUGGGGUAAAACUGACAGCAGGUAACAGCAUUAUUUAUUGACAAAGCAAAAGCAUCAACUUUACUUAAGGGCUUCCACUGAAAAGACAUGGGGAGUAUCAAAUGCAACAACUUGAACAAAAUCUAUUUUGUUUUUGCCAGUAUUCUGAGAGAUAAAUCAACUCAAGUAAGGUAUCAUUAAUAAUGCACAAAAGGCUUAUACCCCAUGAGUUAUCAUGACAAGGGUCAGCCAUGUCAUCUUUUCUAGAAGGGUAUCAAUGAGUCACAUUACAAAAUAAGAGAUACAUACUUAAUACAAGGUAUAUUUAUAAAUCGUGACAUUUUCAUGGCACUUGCUUUUUGAUGUGUCAGUUUAGCUAAGGUGAACUACAGUCCUCAUUCAAUCAAACACUAAUCUAAAUGCUGCUGGGAAGGGAUCUUACACAUGUAAUUAAGGUAUCAGUUGAGUUUAAUUUGGGGAUGUUAUCUUGGGUGGGUUUGACUUAACUAAUUAGAAGUUUUUAAAGGAGGAUUUUGGAUGUCCUUUUUUAUUUUAUUUUAUUUUUUCUUUUGGCCAUACCCAUGGCAUAUGCAAGUUCCCCAGAAAGUGAUCAAACCUACACCACAGCAGCGACCCUCACCACAGCAGUGACAAUACUGGAUCCUUAACCUGCUGCACCACCAGGGAAAUCCUGGAUGUCACAUGGUUGAUGCUAGCUUCCAGCUGAGACCUGGGCUGGGGUUAUCAACUGGAACACUUAAACCUCACGACUAGCCUCUCCACAUGGUUAGAGUUCUCAAACCAUGUGGUAGUUGGUUUCCAAAGGAAAGCAUCCCAAGAGGGGGGCAAGGGAUGGUUGGAAGAAGGAAAAAGGGGAGGGGAGAGAACAAGCAAGGGAGCAAGCACCAACUAGGUAUAUCCUAUUCAUAUAGGCAGCUACAAAGUCC